GCUCCCAGAAUUUUAGAGCCCUUAGUGUUGCACUUGUCCAUCUGCCAGUCUGUUAUUUUCCUUUGCAUAACAUAAAUAUGACAUACAAUUUCAUACACAUUGUCAAUGAUAUACAUAGUCAAACAUAAACUAAACCUGUUUCAAAUCAAAAUCACAUCAGUUUCAAUACGAAUAUUAUGCAAAGAUUUUUGGAAGGCAAGAAAAAAGGAAAGAGAAGGGAAAAGAAAAGAAAAAAAAGUUAUGUCACUUGGGAGUUGUAGUUUUUAUUAGCUAGGCCAGUGUUGUUGUCUUUUACUUAGUGAAAUAUACACAUAAAGUUCUUCAAAAGUUUGUGUUGCAAAUAUCUUAAAAUAUUUCACCUGGAGUCAUGAAACCAGGUACAGUGACAGGAAUGGGGGCACCUGUGUCCUAUGAACACAUAUCUAGUUCUGUUAGUAAUCACACUGUGUUUUCUCUUUCUAGUAAGUCAUGGCAGAGGAGGACCUCAACGAGAUCAGUCAGGACAUGUCUAGGAUGAGCUGUACAACUAGUUUCAUACACUUCAAAAAUGACGCACAUGAAUCGGUACUACUGAAAGAAAUGAAGAAACUUUAUGAUGAGGAUCUUCUCAAAGAUGUCACAUUAUGUGUAGGAAGUCUCGAAUUUUCAUGCCACAAGAACGUAUUGGCGGCAACUAGUCCAUACUUUAAACUGAUGUUUACAUUAGAAAUGGCUGAAAGUAAAAAGGAUAGGAUUGAAUUGUUUGAAGUUGAUUCUAGGUCAGUGAAAGAUGUUAUUGAAUAUGCUUAUACAGGGAAGGUGAAAAUAACAAGAAGUAAUGCACAAAACUUACUGAGUGCUGCAACUUUGUUUCAGAUACUGCCAGUUCAACGAGCCUGUGCCAAAUUUAUGGAAACACAGCUAGAUAUUCAUAACUGUAUUGGUAUUAACUUCAUAGCAGAAAUCCACAACUGUACGGCAUUAAAAAUUAAAGCAAGAGAAUUCAUUGAAAAGAAUUUUGUUGAUGUUUGCGAGAGUGAAGAGUUUUUGUCAUUGACAUUUAACAAACUAGCUGAGAUAGUUAUGUCUGAUGAACUAAAUGUAGAAAAAGAAGAAAUUGUACUAGACGCUGUUAUUUCCUGGAUAGCUCAUGACUUUCAGUCACGAAAAGGUUUCUUCUGUGAAUUGUUACAAAUGGUUAGAAUUGGUCUGGUUAGUAGUAGUUACGUAAAGGAAGUACUAUCUAGGCACAAAUUGGUGAGAACAUGUCAGAAAUGUAAGGAAUAUAUCCAAGAUCUUAAAGAUUAUGAAACAAAUCCGGGCACAUAUGUAGGGAAUAGAGACUUCAGUUUGAGUCUUAGGUCUGGUAUGUACUACCCAGAAGGUUGCCUACUCAUCAUGGGAGGUGUGGAGCUGACGACUGUACGUCCUUGUAUUAACUGUUAUAACCCAGUCUCGCAAGAAUGUUUCUAUAUUGAGGAAUUCCCAGAGCCGAGGAAACUGGAUACCUAUGAUUGUGAAGACAUUGCUUGUGUUGUAACUGAAAACAACCUAAUAUUUGCAGGAGGUGGUAACUAUAUAUAUCAUCACUUGUUUGAAGAUUCCGAAGAUGACUCUUUUGAGGAACUGGAAUACAAGGAAUAUAUUGUACAGAAAGACUUCUAUCAGUAUGAUAUGGAUCAUAAUGAGUGGCUCGCAAAAUCACCGAUGCUGUUUCCUAAGUCAAACUUUACUCUUGCCAGCUUGAACGGAAAGAUCUAUUGUUUCGGAGGCUUAACAGAAAACAAGCAUCCAACAGAAAUCAUUGAAGUGUAUGACAUUGAGAGGAAUAGAUGGAAUUAUCAAGGCAUGCUACCUACAACACUUGUUGAUCUCGCCUCAGUAGUAUAUAAGGAAAAUAUAUAUCUACUAGGAGGACGUACUGGAGUGGGUGCUCACAAUAGCCUGAUAAGAUACAACCCAGAGACUGAGGAGUGGACGUCUCUUGCCGGAAUGCUUACACCAAGAUUCAACUUUGGUGCGUGUCUGCUUGACGGAGAAAUCUAUGUUGCUGGAGGACAGAUAUACUCACAUGCUUCUUAUACCAUCAACAGAGAAGUGUUAAGAACAGUUGAGAUCUAUAAUAUAGAGUCCAACCAGUGGCGACUGGGACCAGAACUUCCGGUAGACAUGUUUAAUGUUGGUCUAUGUGUGAUCAGUGGUGCGAUGUAUGCUUGUGGUACACCAGAAUAUGAUGAAGAUCUGACUUCACAGAGGUCCUAUAAUGCGGUGUGUAGACUUGACCUGGGUACAAAUGUAUGGGAGAUGACAGAAGAUAGUCUGUGUAGUGUUAGGAACUUUAGAUGUGUGAUGGCCAAGAUGCACACAAGGAAACUUCAGAAGGUGUUUUCAUCCUCUGCUGUAUAGGUAAAAGUCUGAUUCAGCCAUUGAUUUGAAUCAAAACAGGGAACAAAACUAUAGUUUCAUCAGUCCAGUGUACUGUUGAAUAUAGAAUUUUUUAGCUCGAAAUUAUGGUCACCAGUUUAAAUCUGUGUCAGUGUCAUGAAUACAGUUAAUGCCUGUCCCCUCGAAUUAGAGUCAACUUGUAGCCUGACUUUUAGAAUCAAAAUAAGCUUAUAUUUGUCUUUGUGUUAAAGCUUUUUAAACCUUUCCAUAUGCUUCAUUUUUAUCACCUACAUGUUGAAUUUCUAUGAAGCAUGUGUACGUAUUUUGUUUCAGCUUUGGCUGAACAUAUACUCUAAAUCUUGUAAAAUACAUAAUUAGCUUUUUGGAGUAUUCUUAAUAUAUAUCCUGCCAUGUGGAGUGAAUGUCUUUCCAGUGGUCAUCAGCCCACAGUAAUAAAUUGAAAUUUGUUAAAGCUCAGAUUUUUUUCUUCAGAGGUCAAGUAUACAUGAAGUUUGAGUGACACUCAAAUUUUUUAAACGCUUAAGUCAAAUUUGUUGAUUUCCGGUCCAUUGAUGGGAGAGGUAAUUCUUCCUAAUUCCAUAAUUAUGUUUUAUUAUUGUCUUCAAAUAAUGAUAAAAUUGGUAUAAUGAUAAUAAUAUAAAUGAUGAUAAUAGUGGCCAAAUUGAACUGACACCAUGUUUCAUUUAGGAUACAUAACUAGUAAUCAUGUAGGAAUCACAAAAUAGUGAAGAACAUAAAUGCAUGGUUAUGCUAAAAGAUGUAGAUUUAUUCUGUCUGUUUAUUCUGUAAAAGGCUGAUCAUUCUGUAAGAGACUAAAAAUAUGUGCAGUAGUUUGGGAUGUACAGGUUAAUUAUACUCCCUUCCCCUGCUUUAUCUUUUGGAUGGCAUGGUUGUUGAUUCACUGACAGACUUUUGAAGGCAAGUCAUUGGGACAUAUGAUGCUGGGCUUGUUCUUUACUAUCUUAGUAAUAUGGGCAUCCGGACAGUAACAACAGACAUGGGGGUUUAGUGGGCAUCUGGACAGUAACAACAGACAUGGGGGUUUAGUGGGCAUCUGGACAGUAACAACAGACAUGGGGGUUUAGUGGGCAUCUGGACAGUAACAACAGACAUGGGGGUUUAGUGGGCAUCUGGACAGUAACAACAGACAUGGGGGUUUAGUGGGCAUCUGGACAGUAACAACAGACAUGGGGGUUUAGUGGGCAUCCGGACAGUAACAACAGACAUGAGGGUUUAGGUAUUGGGAUUAGUGGCAGAAACUGCUCUUAUUGAAUGGCCAGCGAAUGUAGUCAAGGUAAAUGGAUGGUGUAUUCGUGUGAAUUUGUUCCUUCGAAAACUGGUAUGUUGACCUUGUUCACGAAAGGAAUAAAAGUUAGUUGUUGCUGUAAGUUUGUGCAGUGGUGACAGUAAUCCAAAAUUCAAUAUGAAGUUGAUCACUGUGCAGCAUUAGUUAGGAUUUUCUUAACAACUUAGUCAUAUUCUGCCCAUCUAGAUAUGCCUAGCCAUAGCGAGAAUAAAUCACACAUCUAGAUAUGCCCAGCCAUAGCGAGAAUAAAUCACACAUCAUCUGCCUGUAUUUCAUCCGUGCUAGGGUGUCUCCGGGAAACUGCAACAUACCUCAAAAUGCUGAUAUCCACGUAUCUUGUUUGGGAUAGUGUUUAUGUUGGAUUGACCAACAAAUUGUAACAAACAAGUAUUAGUAGAGCUAUUAGAAAUUUGGAAGGUUGCAAAGUGGACAAAGUUGGCAAAAGGAUUGGGUUUGUUUUGCUAGGACUGUCUGAUGACAAGGAUUCUCUAUCAGUUAUCAAAGAAUCCUGUCGUGAGAUGUAUACAUUUAACUGUUUGAAUCUUUCUUGUUGAUUUCUUUACCCUCUGCAUUUUUCUAAAAAGCACUGCUGAUGGAUGAGCAUUAAAACUUUGAAAGUGAUGACUGUAAAUUAGUGUUACAACUAUCUACUCUAGUGUUGACAGUGAAUAUCGACUGUAAUGUGCUUAAUGUAAAGUACACAUAAUUAAGAGGUCCAUGACCACCUCCAUAUUUUAUGCAGACUUAGAGUUCACUUGUUCUACAUCAUCACCCACAUCAUGUGAGAAUCAGUCUAGUGAUAGUUUGGAGUUUCCUCAGAUAUGCCCUAUUUCACUAUCCAUUACCGAAAAAGUCAAAUGUGAUGUUUCCUCUUUGUUUCUUGUGUUAUGAUUCAUUAAUUAUGUGGAAUGUUGUAUUUUGUGAUGUCAUAACAUUAUGACAUCAUUGUUGAAGGUGGUUGGCUCCUAGACAGUUUGAUGUUUUUACACAUCGUGUUUCUGUGUUUCUAAAGACUAAUGGAAAUUACUUUAAAUAUAGAUUUGAUAAUAAAUUGUGAUCACCCUUCGUCCGUCCGUCGUCUGUUCACAAUUUCCUUGUGAACACGAUAGAGACUAUAUUUUGUUUUUGAUUUUAAUCAAACUUGCACACAACUUGUAUGGGCAUAAUAUCUUGGUUCCUUUCGAAAACUGGCCAGAUCCCAUCAUGAGUUCCAGAGUUAUGGCCCCUUAAAGGGACAAAAUUUGCCAUUUUUAGCUCACCUGUCACAAAGUGACAAGGUGAGCUUUUGUGAUCGCGCGGUGUCCGUCGUCCGUGCGUGCGUGCGUCCGUGCGUGCGUGCCUCUGUAAACUUUUGCUUGUGACCACUCUAGAGGUCACAUUUUUCAUGGGAUCUUUAUGAAAGUUGGUCAGAAUGUUCAUCUUGAUGAUAUCUAGGUCAAGUUCGAAACUGGGUCACGUGCCUUCAAAAACUAAGUCAGUAGGUCUAAAAAUAGAAAAACCUUGUGACCUCUCUAGAGGCCAUAUAUUUCACAAGAUCUUCAUGAAAAUUGGUCAGAAUGUUCACCUUGAUGAUAUCUAGGUCAAGUUCGAAACUGGGUUACCUGCCUUCAAAAACUAGGUCAGUAGGUCUAAAAAUAGAAAAACCUUGUGACCUCUCUAGAGGCCAUAUAUUUCACAAGAUCUUCAUGAAAAUUGGUCAGAACGUUCAUCUUGAUGAUAUCUAGGUCAAGUUCGAAACUGGGUCAUGUGCCGUCAAAAACUAGGUCAGUAGGUCAAUUAAUAGAAAAACCUUGUGACCUCUCUAAAGGCCACAUUUUUCAUGGGAUCUGUAUGAAAGUUGGUCAGAAUGUUCAUCUUGAUGAUACCUAGAUCUAGUUCGAAACUGGGUCACGUGCAGUCAAAAACUAGGUCAGUAGGUCUAAAAAUAGAAAAACCUUGUGACCUCUCUAGAGGCCAUAUAUUUCAUGAGAUCUUCAUGAAAAUUGGUCAGAAUGUUCACCUUGAUGAUAUCUAGGUCAAGUUCGAAAGUGGGUCAAGUGCCUUCAAAAACUAGGUCAGUAGGUCAAAUAAUAAAAAACCUUGUGACCUCUCUAGAGGCCAUAUUUUUCAUGGGAUCUUUAUGAAAGUUGGUCUGAAUGUUCAUCUUGAUGAUAUCUAGGUCAAGUUCGAAACUGGGUCAACUGCAGUCAAAAACUAGGUCAGAAGGUCUAAAAAUAGAAAAACCUUGUGACCUGUCUAGAGGCCAUACUUUUGAAUGGAUCUUGAUGAAAAUUGGUCAGAAUGUUCACCUUGAUGAUACCUAGGUCAAGUUCGAAACUGGGUCACAUGCCGUCAAUAACUAGGUCAGUAGGUCAAAUAAUAAAAAACCUUGUGACCUCUUUAGAGGCCAUAUUUUUCAUGGGAUCUGUAUGAAAGUUGGUCUGAAUGUUCAUCUUGAUGAUAUCAAGGUCAGCUUCAAAACUGGGUCACAUGAGCUCAAAAACUAGGUCACUAUGUCAAAUAAUAGAAAAAACGAUGUCCUACUCAUUUCAGAACUGGGUCAUAUGGGGACAG
Mercenaria mercenaria is the source of this 6244-nucleotide RNA transcript. It is a transcript of the gene named kelch-like protein 28, with no coding region annotated. The transcript has 4 exons. The record is from RefSeq and is a predicted model, not a curated record. NCBI's taxonomy places the organism in Eukaryota, Metazoa, Mollusca, Bivalvia, Venerida, Veneridae.